This 253-nucleotide ribosomal RNA is filed under the name uncultured bacterium. Its description in RNAcentral is "partial 16S ribosomal RNA". It matches the Rfam family "Bacterial small subunit ribosomal RNA", at positions 524 to 776 of the family's 1533-position model. The record is from RNAcentral.
UACAGAGGUCCCAAGCGUUGUUCGGAUUCACUGGGCGUAAAGGGUGCGUAGGCGGUCGGGUAAGUCUGAUGUGAAAUCUCACAGCUUAACUGUGAAACUGCAUUGGAUACUAUUCGGCUAGAGAGUUGGAGGGGGGACUGGAAUUCUUGGUGUAGCAGUGAAAUGCGUAGAUAUCAAGAGGAACACCAGUGGCGAAGGCGAGUCCCUGGACAACUUCUGACGCUGAGGCACGAAAGCGUGGGGAGCAAACAGG